CGUCGUGAUCUCGCCGGAGGUCCUCUGUAUAGAUGUAAACGAGAAUCGAGUGCUUCUUGCCUUACACUGCCGGGCCCCUUUCAUCCCUCCUCCUCCGUCUCCGAAUCCGCGUCUAGCCCUAAUCUUGGAUGAGAAGCCUUCCGCCGAUCUGAAGCACUUUCAUCUUGAUUUCUUGAUUGGGUUUCACUGAGAUAUGGGUCCUGCAAGUACCCUAUCUUGCCUUGUGAGGUUCCUUAUGAGGAUUUUUCGUUCUGGAAGAGUGAGGAGGACAUGAUACAUGCGCAAUUACAUGGGACAAAAUGUGUGUUCUGCUUGUUACCGCUCUUACCUUAUUGUUUUGAUGGUUUAGGAUGCACUUGUUCUGUGAUCAAGAUGAUCGGUUGGCUUUGAUUGCCUGGUUGGCAGCGGCAUCCUGUGCUGCCGCUUGUCUGGAUGUGGAAGACCCUUGGGAUGGCCAACGAUGAUGAUUGGCAAGUGAGGCAUGUUCAUUACUAGUUCCUACCACUCUCACCUCUCUUUUCUUUGCUGUUCAUUACGCUUGCUAGUCGCCAUGCCAUUUUAUUCCAGUCAAUGUUCAAAGGCAUAUCUUUAGCUUACUAUUCUCAGAUGAACCUUCUAAUAAAUGGUGCAGAUUCAUGUUGAACAGGUCAGUUUCGGAAGACAUCCAGUCAGCUAAUGGUAUUUCUUUCAUUUUCUGCAUUAAAAGUUAUGCAUCUCGAAGCAGGUAGAUGUCAGAGUCGAGCUCCCUGAGGAGGGAGGUGGGGGCAGUAUGGAGUCAUGGGUGAGUCGAGACUGUGCACUGCUGCCUCCACCAGUGCUAAGUUCUCGUAAUAAAUAUGCAGAGAAUGGAAUAGCUUUGUAAAAUCUUGAGAUAUCUCGUCUUUACAAACAAUGGAAGCGCUCUCGAUACAUGCAUCCUAUAUUGUGGAAAGCCACAAAGUAUCGUGACACUCAAAAAGAAAGGAAACCUUCUCGGAUCUUCUUCAAA
Musa acuminata subsp. malaccensis (wild Malaysian banana) is the source of this 988-nucleotide non-coding RNA. NCBI's taxonomy places the organism in Eukaryota, Viridiplantae, Streptophyta, Magnoliopsida, Zingiberales, Musaceae. The record is from RefSeq and is a predicted model, not a curated record.